AGUGAACGCUGGCGGUAGGCCUAACACAUGCAAGUCGAACGGCAGCACAGAGGAGCUUGCUCCUUGGGUGGCGAGUGGCGGACGGGUGAGGAAUACAUCGGAAUCUACUCUGUCGUGGGGGAUAACGUAGGGAAACUUACGCUAAUACCGCAUACGACCUACGGGUGGAAGCAGGGGACCUUCGGGCCUUGCGCGAUUGAAUGAGCCGAUGUCGGAUUAGCUAGUUGGCGGGGUAAAGGCCCACCAAGGCGACGAUCCGUAGCAGGUCUGAGAGGAUGAUCAGCCACACUGGAACUGAGACACGGUCCAGACUCCUACGGGUGGCAGCAGUGGGGAAUAUUGGACAAUGGGCGCAAGCCUGAUCCAGCCAUACCGCGUGGGUGAAGAAGGCCUUCGGGUUGUAAAGCCCUUUUGUUGGGAAAGAAAUCCAGCUGGCUAAUACCCGGUUGGGAUGACGGUACCCAAAGAAUAAGCACCGGCUAACUUCGUGCCAGCAGCCGCGGUAA
RNAcentral lists this ribosomal RNA (506 nucleotides) under uncultured bacterium. RNAcentral's name for it is "partial 16S ribosomal RNA". It matches the Rfam family "Bacterial small subunit ribosomal RNA", at positions 29 to 523 of the family's 1533-position model. The record is from RNAcentral.